CUGUGCUGUUGCGACACUUCCCUCCACUACGUCGACUCUGGAGGAAUGGGUGUGUGAGGAAUGACUGGAACCACAGCACUCAGAUUGCGGCAGGCGGCAGUGGUCCAAGGAUAGGGAGGAAAGUGCUAUCAGGAUCAUUGGGAUCAUGGCCACUGUGAGUCUGGAAAGGCCUUUGUAUUCCCUUGGAAAGAUAAAGACAGAAGGAGAGAUCGGAGAACUGUGGACCGGUGGAGGAGUCAAUCUGUGAAGGAGACAAGGUUGAUGCUCUUCUUUAGGGAUUUGGAGAAUUUGGCUACUGUAUCAAGUAGGAUGUGUUAAGUUGAACAGCACUCUUCAAGGCAUAUGGAGCCCUGGCUCUUCUCGGCUACACCUGGACCAUCUCCUCAAGGUCAUCAGUUUGGAUGGAGGGACCUUCAGGAGACCCCACCUUGCUCCAGGAUUCCAGUUUACAGACCCAGAAUUUCCAAGUCACAGCUGCGUGACCAGAAAUCUCAUGAUCUCUGUAAACCUCAGCUGUUUUCGUUGUUGUCUGCUAAAGAGGAAGAAAAAUCCUACCUAAAAAGAUGGCAACAGGACUUUAGCCUCUGAUCAGGGCGAUCUGCAAGUUAGAAGGAGCAACCUCAGAGCUUGAGCAGGUCUGGAAUAGUUGGUGCUUGCAGCAGCCAGAAUGGAAAAGCCUCGUGGUUAGUCUGCCAGUGAGUGCAGAGAAGUAUUUAUUGCCGUAGGAAGGGGUAAAAUUAGCCUUAGACUAAAGGCUGUCCUGAUACCAUCUCACAAAGACUUAAAACAACCCCAGAAGGAACAAAUGGUUUCUAAAUUUUACCUAAUUGCUCUGCAGGAAAAAAAAAUAACAAUAAAACUCAGGCAUACUUGUAGAGUGUAAAAACAAGUCAUAAUUUAUGGUAUAGAAAAUUACCAGGCAUCAUCAGUCUGUGCCACAGCACCCUGAACAUGCCUGAUCUUGGAAGCUAAACCUGGUUGGGUCUGCUUAGUACUUGGGUGGUAGAAAGUGACCAAGAGCAGAGAAAUAAAGUACACAGUGAGAAAACAGUUCCCAGAAACAACAGAACAGCAAGGACAAAAGGACACGAGGAGAGUGAGGAGACGAGGACCCAUGUGAACACAUCCGAGGAAGAGGAGAAGACUGACUGAGCCGGGAGCUAGAAACACGGAGACAGAUGAGAAGUGAAGCUGGACUUCAGUGAAUGACAAGAUGUCGGACAGAAAAACCAAACAAAUGUACCGUUAACAGACGCUUAGGAAGUACAGCAGGCAGUGAGUCUGAAGACACAGUAACAGACAGUAUUAAAAAAUAAAUAAAAUAUCCAAAGUCCUGCCUGUGACCACUCCCAGCAUGCAAAUAUAUGUAGAUAUCAUGCUAAUAUAUGCAGCCAUAUGCUAAUGUAUGCUAAUAUCUAUGCCCAGAAAAAGAGUGUGGAGAUGGGAAAGAAAUAGUACCUUAAAUUUUUCCAAAAUUGAAGAUAACUGUAACCCACAAAGUACAAAAAAUAUGAAGGAACCUUUAUCAAGGGCCAUCAUAGAGAAGAUAAGAAAUACUUAAAACUAGUUUGUAAAAGGAAAAGAUACGUGUCCGGAAAGUGGUAUAAUAAAACUUUAAAAAUGAUUUUUUUCCCAUGGGCUUUAGAUGGCUCAGAGGUUAAGAUCACUUGUUGCUCUUAAUUUUGAUUCCCAGCACCCAUAUUGGAUGCUCGCAGCCACCUCUAACUCCAGCUUCAGGGGAUCUGAUGCCCUCUUCUGGCUCCUGAAGGCACCUGCAUGCAUGUGCCCAUCCCCCCCCCCCCCAUACACACAUACAUAUUAAAAAGUAAAAUCUGUAAAAGAAGUUUUCCAUAACUUAAAAAUGUACAUAAAUUCAAGAUACCGGUGAAGAAACAGAAUGGGUAUAAAUCAAUACAUGAGUGAUAAUGAAAUAGUUGAAAUUUAAAAGGAAAGAGGACAGGAAGGACACAGUCGAAGAACAAGGGAGAUGAAUGAACAGCAAAUGGCAAGAUGGCAGGUCACAGAGAAUGUGACUGUGCUGAACGCCCCUGGGAAAAGGCAGAUACUGUCCUGUUGAAAAGAAAAAGCUGCCUCCAACAAAUCCCCAGGAAAACACACGAGAUGGAAACGGGCCGUCCUGGUACUAAUGAGAAAGCUAGAGGGGUUAUUUUAACAUCAAGGUGGGUUUCGUAGUAAAGAUCCUCACUAAAGAGAGGAGUAAUUUCACAAUAACAAGGGCUGGGUGGGGUUAGAGAAUCGGCUCAGAAGUUAAGAGCACUGGCUGCUCUUUCCCAGGGCCCGGGUUCAGUUCCCAGCACCCACAAGAUGGCCAACAACUGUCUGGGACUUUAGUUCC
Molecule: long non-coding RNA, 2356 nt
Organism: Peromyscus eremicus (cactus mouse)
Lineage: Eukaryota; Metazoa; Chordata; Mammalia; Rodentia; Cricetidae
Exons: 4
Source: RefSeq, a predicted model, not a curated record